Molecule: long non-coding RNA, 3875 nt
Filed under: Equus caballus (horse)
Lineage: Eukaryota; Metazoa; Chordata; Mammalia; Perissodactyla; Equidae
Description: lncRNA (ENSECAG00000052402.1)
Source: RNAcentral
GCGGGGGCCUGCGGGGGACUUGCAAGGGGCGGGGGGCUGCGGGGGCGGGGCAGACCUCCAGCCGGCUCUCCGCAAACCUCGCUUCUAGCCUUGUCUUCCUGCGCCCAUUCUGGACACCCGGGCCCAGCUCUGAGUUCUUGUUUUAACACCUACUAUGCGCCAGGCCCCCCGUCGGAGGAGUCCUAGUUAGCCUUAUUAAUAAGGGUUAGAUAAUGUCCAGGCGCUCGAUAUGCAUCAGCUCGUUAAAGUUUCACAGCCUCUCCAUCAUCAUCUCCAUUUUACAUGUGAGGAAACUGAGGCGAGGAGAUGUGAAGAAAUAGGAGGGAGGGUUUCCAGGGAUGAGUAAGAGAAGAUGUCAGCCUUGAGGAGCUGUCAGUUCUAUUAUGGGCGAUUAGUGAAGGCCGACUCUCUGCCAGGUGCUGAGCACGGCAUCUUUCACCCAUUACGUGCUUGAGGAAAUUAAGGCUCGGACGCCUGCAGUAAUUUAUGCAGGGGCACUCUGCUAGGAGGGGCUGAGCUGACGCUCCAAACCUCCACUGUCCAGUCUGGUGGCCAAACAACCACCUGGAGAAAACUGUAAAGGAGGCACAGGCAGAAGGUUCGAGAACUCAGAGAUGGGGAAAUGUGGUCUUCGGGAAAAUCAGGGGCGGCAUCAAGGAGGAAGGGAAAGGUAAGCAGCCACUGAGAGGCUGAGAAUGGCUAGAGGUGGAGGUAGAGGAGGAGGGAGAGGGACGGAUGAAGCUAAAGGGAUGCCUGAGGGCUGGAACACCCAGGGCCUUGGAUUCUGAGCUCGGGCUCGUGAAUGUCAGCCUGCUGGCAGCCAGAGUCCAUGAGGGGAGUUUCUAAACAGGGGGUGAGCUAAGUCAGCCCUCACGGAGGAGGUGACGCUGAAGCAUGUGUUAGCAGCCGUGACAGCAGCUGUUGCUUAGGGAGUGGGAAGGUUUUAAGAGAAGUAGCAAAUGCUCCCAGAGAUGUGUACUUUUCCACUGAUCAUCUGGUGAGUAUCUCAGAGAGGUGGAUUUCAACUGAGUGUAGGAAAAUGCUUUUCUCCAAAGGGAGCUUUGAAGGCAGGUGGGUCAAAGUUCUGGGCAGCCUAAGCGGGAGGCCCAGCUCCACCCCUCGCUGCCUCUGCAGCCCUGGGCAGGUCCCUCCACCUGCUGGCUGCCUCAGUUACCUCAUCUACAAAAUUGGCAUGAUGGUAUGGUGGCUGUGAGCAUUAUAUGAUAUAGUGCUUCUAAAAUAUUUAGCGCAAUGUGGCAAAAUGUUAAUUAGUGAAUCUAGGCAAAGGGUGUUUGUUGUACGAUUCUUGCAACUUUUCUGUUGGUUUAAAUUUUUGCAAAAUAAAAAAGGUUGUGUGGGGUGGGGGGGAGACAGACAAUUCUCGCCUGCAUAGAACACUCAGAAACUGAUCCUAAUGGCGCCUCUGGGGAGGGGAGCUGAGUGGUUGAGAGGCGGCCUACUUUUAGUUUUCACUGUAAGCCCUUUUGUUCUUUUUAGAUUGGUAUUGUGUGUAUAUACAACUUGUAAAAUAAUUUUUUAAAGUCCUACCCAUGCCUCAAGGUCAAUGCAAAGGCCACUUCCCUUAAGAAAAAGCUUGGGAUGUUCUGCUCAGGUCGGUGGACACAUCCAGCAGCUGCCUUGAAUGGGAGGGCCCCACAACUGGGGGAUAAAGACGCGUUUGAUUCAGCCCUGCCUAGAAGGAGCUCAUACUCCAGCAAGUGGAGACAAAAAGAAACAGGAGGCGGACAAACAAAUCCAAUCCGGGGCGUGGUGAGGGUCCAGACAAGGGCAGCCGGCUCCUUAUGCAGCUUCAGGGACGGCUCCUUGGAGGAGGCAGUGGCUGAGCCGAGUUCUGAGCUGAACUCCCAGCCAGGAGAAGGUAGAGGGAAGGCAUUCCAGAUGGAAGGAGCAUGUGAGCAGAAGCUUGGGGCCUUGAAAGCAAAGGGUGCAUGAAUGCAAGCACCUCAGCAUGACUGGGUGGUACAGAGAGGGGGAGAGUAACGAGCAGUGAGAGUGACUGGGAGCCGCAAAUAGAUGGGGCGCCCGAGGGCACACGCUGUGGGAAUCCCAUCAUGACAGACUAAGGCUCAGCCUCUUCAGGGAGAUAGGUCAUGUUGUUUAUCAAUAUUAUUGUUAUUUUAUUUCCAUUUUACAGAAAACACACAUGAGCCUCAGGGCAUUUAAAGAACUUGCCUGUGGUCACAGUAUAGACCCUCUAUGUGAGGAUUCAAGCCCACACAGGCAAUACCAGAGCUGCCUGGUCAAUGGGGAACCAGUAAAUGGAUCUUUCAGAUUGAGCGCUUAAAUGAGGGCUAUUGGCCUGGAGAAUGACUCAGAGGUGGAGGACCGGAAACAUGAUCAACCGGGAAGCUACUGCAAUAGCCCAGAGCGUAGAGAAGCAGAAAGUUGGAGAUGUGCCAGCUAUCUACCAUUAGAGGAUCAGAUAAAUAAAUUAUGGUUCUUUGAUACUGGAGAGUGCCACCAAGCUGUUAAAGAAUGACAGUGUUGAAGUGGCCAGCUAUCUGCAAAGUAUGGUGAAGUUUAACACCCAGCAAUCCUAACACCCAUGAAUUUAUUCCAAGACAGCAAAAUGAAAGAGGUCCACGGACACUGUUCACCGAAUGUGCAGCGCCUGUUACAGAGGAGCGGCUUCAAAAAUAUUUGUUGGAUCUGAGAUUGAGCUACAGCAUCGUUCUUUGCAGCUUUGUUUGUAAAAGGAAAGACCAAAAGCAACAGACAUGGACGACCUUACGGUGCCAGCUAAAUAAACGACAGCAGAUCCAUAAAACAGAAUGAUGUCCUGUCGUUAAAAUCAGGUUGUAAUAACACUCGUAGAUGCCCCGCCCACCAAGAGGUGGGGCUUAAUCCUCCUCCCCUUGAGUGCGGCAUGGACUUUAUGGCUGGUAUCUAAAGGAUGGAGUGGAAGGGGGAAAAUAGUACUUUUACAGAGGAGAGACCCAGCAGACACUCCCUUCCCUUAACGUCAGCAGAGAUAAAUCGUGGAGAUGUCAGGUACUCCGCAGGAUGCAAUGAGAAGGGCACCUCACCUCUGUGGUCUUCUCCCUCAAAAACCGUACCCCAGUCUCAUCGUGAGAAAGACAUCACACAUACCUGAACUGAGGGGCAUUCUACAAAAUGCCUGAGAAGUCUUCUUCAAAACCGUCAAGGUCACGAAAAACAAGGGAAGACUCAGAAACUGUCGGGGACCAGAGGAGCCAAAGGAAGGGACUUAGACCGAAUGCCACGUGGCAUCCAAAAUGGAGUCCUGGAAUAUGAAAAAGACUUUUGUGGAAGAACUGGCAAAAUCCUAAUGAAGUGCAUAGUUUAGUUAAUAAUAUUUUACUGACGUUAAGUUUUCAGUUUUGGCAGAUAUAGCAUGGUUAUGCAAGACGUUAGCAUCCGGGGAAGCUGGGUGAAGAGUACACAGGAACUCCUGUGCUCUCUUGGCUAUAAACCUAGAAUCAGUCAAAAAUUUAAUAUUAUUUAAAAAAAAACAGAAUGUAGAUAUUUAUUAGCAUAGAAAUGUAUUCAUGAUAUGUUAAGGGGAAGUCUGUGUAUGGUGUCAUACAGUUUUUGCUGAAUGAGCCCAUUUUUGUAAAAAAAAAAUACUGAUAAGGUGUGUAUAUAUACAUGAAUGGAUAUACAUGCACAUAUACACACACACGCAGGAAAACAAAAGUCUAGGAAGACAUCCUUCCAGGAUUUCGGCCUCCAGGGCCCGGCAGGAGAGGACCGUAGUGGCCGUGGUGAGCCGGAGUGUUUACGGUCCUUCUAAAACAGGCAGCAGCUUCAUGGCCCCAGCCAGUUGCUGUCCUGCAGGACUUGGAACCAGUUCUGAUAGAUCAUCUCAUUUUCCAAAAGAAAUUGAAACCGAG